UCAUGGAUACUAUAAAAGCUUGUCUUCACCUGUAUUGCUUAUCAAAACAUACCUAUCAUAUACAAUUCAUUGUACUACAACAUUUCUUCCAAUACUUUGCACUUACUGUUUUUCCAACUUUGAAGCAGUGUGUACUUACUUAGGAGUCAGGAGUACCCUGAGUAGGUAAAUUACAUCCCUAUGGUCUGGAACACAGUAAAAGCAAAAAGGCUUUUGAUUCAGUGAUUUGUGCUUUCUUCCUUCUGCACCUUCCUGCAGACACUGUUGGCAGAGAAGCUGAAUUGGCACCCUGGGCUUGGGCAACUGCUGCUAAAAGACGGUGUCCUGGGAGCAGAACUUUCCUGUAACUGAGUGAUUCCUCCCGUUGGUUUCAGACCAGUGUAAUUGAUUCUUGUUCUUCUUUUCUUUGUUUUGUCAUUUAAUUCUUUAAUUAAACUCUCUUGUUAUUGGGAUUAAAAUCAUUGUAACCUGCCCCAGUUUUUCUUAUCUUGCUCUUUGAAGAUAUGAGAGUUCUGAACUUUCUAAUCUCAGGGCUGAAUGAAUACAAUUCAACCUCAUGUCUUAGAAUAGGGAUUCUCAUUCAAAGAGGCUGGCUUCUUGGGGGGGGUGUGUUACCACAACCUUGAGGUAGAAAGUAAGAGGGAAGAGGGGCUGCCAGUUGAUGAAAAAAGCAUAUUCAGUAUUCUAAUCUAAUUAAAUCAAAACAAAUGAAUUUGUUCUGCUAACCAAGACAUAGAGAGUUAACCCUAUAAAAUCUCCUUUAUGGGCAUACAAGUUAGCAACUCCCAACAAGAUGAGUAUCUCUCUCUCCAGGUCAGAGUUGCCGAAUAUCUGUAAAGUGAUGGGCUACCUUCAAGAGAAAUGUACAGGGUUGUUCUCAAAAGCAUCAUUUGUAAUAGCAAACUCGGAAAGAAUUGGAAAAAAACUAAAGAUCCAUCAAAGGCAGAGUAGCUGAAUAAGGUCAUAUCAUGGAGUGGGGUAUUAUUGGGUCAUUGAUGUGGAUGAACAGAUGUGCUGAUAUUGGCAGAUCUCCAACACACAUUUCAAGUUAAAACCACAACAGCAUGGGGACACAAUGAAUAGUAUGAUCCCUUUAGUAUAAAAAUGGUCCCAAACCCUAUAAAAGCUGUAAACAUCCCUCUCCCUGUCAUUUACCAGCCUCUCUCUCAUUCUGUUUCUCUCUCCUGUGCUAUGACUUUUUUCUUCUCCUGGAAAGACACAUAAGAAUUAUGUUAGAAGGGUUAGUUUUGGAAGAGAGACUAUGGGGACGGAAACGUAAAAAUUUCACUUUGUACUUUUUGUUUACAUUUUAAAAUCAUCUAACCAGCCGUCUCAUCAUUUAUUCUACAAAUACUUGUUGAAUGGCUACCAUGUUUCAGGCGGUGCCCCUACUCUCUAAAAGAAUGGCAUGACCCUGACUUGAAGAAAGCUAAGCCUAGUGAGGAAAUAGACGGUAAUAAGGAAAUGUAGAAAAGAUAAUUCAAGACAGUUCUCAGAGUUAAGAAGAAUCAAAAAGGUCUUUAGUUAAAGAGUAACAGCAGAAGACUACUUUAGAUAGCAUAGUACUCAGCGCUUAAAUGCUCCAUAAAGCAAAGAAAACAAAACAAAAUAAAAUACUCCCAAAUGGAAUGCCUCACAACAAGCUCAGCUUUGCAAGUCAUUUGUGACUCAGCUGAUCUAAGCUGGGAUUUUCUGGGAAGCGCUGGGUUUGCGAGCUGAAGGCUGAGCUUAAUACUGCUCUGUAUUAGUCUGGUCUAGGGCCCAGGCUGGAAGUUCCAGCAGCCACUUGGAGAGGCUCUUUUCCUGAUAAAUCACCAGAGUGCAAAAGGGCCAAGUGAAACUGCACAAGCCAUUGCAGGCCUUUGCUUUUAUCAUGUCUACUGAUAUCUCAUUGGCCAAAUCAAAUCCUAUGGCCAAGUCCAGUGACAAUGGAGUGGAAAGUUACCCUCCACUCAUGGGGAUGGUGCUUGGAAGUAAAUAUUAUGCUGCAAAAUAUUUGACACUAUUGAUCAAGGCCUAUCUGAUCACUGAGUAGAAACUGCACAACUGUGAGCCAGAUUUGCUAAGACCACGGUAAGGUCUAGGGGUGAGAGUGAGGGACUUGAGCCAUUUCAAGCAGAGAAAAUAAUAAAUUCAAAAUUAUUAUCUAAAUUGUCAGUUGGUUGGUAGGAUUGUAAGUCAUUUUUUAUUUAAACGUUUCUGUAAAAAUUAACCUUAGUAAAUGGUCUUUCACAAAGGAGUAGCAUGCCAGAUCUGUGCUGCGUCUGUGACCUACAGCACAGCUCACGGCAGCACUGGAUCCUUAACUCACUGAGCGAAUCCAGGAAUUGAACCUAUAUCCUCAUGGAUACCAAUUGGGUUAGUUACUGCUAGACACAAUGGAACUCCUAGACUUUCUGGUUUUUCAAAAUGAUAUUCAGUCCGAUGAUAAAGUUCUCUAAGAGUUAUCAGAAAUGUCAUUGGACUGCUUACAUUUUUAUCCAGGGUAGUACUUAGCUAAACCACGGAGCAGGUUUUAGGGGCAGUGGUAAUCAGAAAUAAAUUUGCUUUUAUGAUUAUACCCUUUGAAUCUUGUCCAGCCUAUCAGUUACACUAACAUUUAUUAAAUUAAAGAUAGCCAUCAAAGCAUUGUGUUAAGGGUUUUCUAGCUGUUACCUCAUUCCCAAGAACACAGUAAGGUAAUUACUGUUAUCCUCAUUUUCUGGAUGAACACAUCGAAGGCGAGGGAGGUCAAGUGAUUGCCCAAGGUCACAGAAUAAUAAAUGUCAAAGCUGGGAUUCAAGUUUAAUCCAGUCCAUCUGACUGUGAGUCUGUGCUCCUAGUGGGUCUGAUUUCUUUCCUGGUGAAAAGCCCUUGUAGUAUGUGUGGGGUGUGACUGCACUCUCCACAGCUCCGUAUCCAUCCCCCAGGCCAAGCAGGCCCAGAUUCUAAAGCUACAUUUGCAGGGCAUGAGUUCAAUCUUUCUCCAUCCCAGUCAUUCUCCUUACCUUCCCCCCAUUUAUCACGUGUGGCCCUUGUGUAUGUGUGGAUACUAAAAAUUACAUUCGAUCACAUGUGUGCAUGUGACUUAGCGGGGGUGUCCUUGCCUAACCAUCGCGGGGCCCUGGGAGUAGGGAAGGGCCUCUUGGAUGCACUUUCUGCAGGAUCCCAUCUCUUCCUGUGCUUUUCCCCAGACUGACCAUGGAGGAUCCUCCCUGUAGGCGCCUGUGCAAGGUGUAUCAAUUACCUCUUUAUGUGGACCUCCAGUUCCUUGAAUUUGAUGAGCUGCAGGGAGAAUUGGAUAGUGGCAGACGUUAAACAGCAAUGACAACAACAGCUCAGUUUCCCCAAAAAACUCUCUAGUAAUACUGGAAAUAGUUUUGUCCUUUGGUUUCCCAAACAUUCACUUAUUUAUACACUUGUCCAUGCACUCAUUCACACAAAGAAAGCUUUACCGAGAGUCCCUGCUGCAUUAGGUCCUGCGAUGCAAGAAAGGAGAAGAGGAGUCCCCUGUCCUUGGGGAGCUCAGCUUCUAGACUGGGAAGUGGGUAUGUAAAUCAGUUGUCAUGCUCUGGUAAAAAAGUACUAAAUUGAGGUGUGAACCAGAUGCCAUGAGAACACCCAGGAAUAGGUAACUCAAAGUGUGCAGGAUGUCAAACUGUGUUAGUCAUGGCGUUGGGCCUAAAUUAGAAAACCAAAAAAACCCCCAGAAGCCAAAAAAAAAAACCACACCCCCAAACUAUGAGAACCCUCCGUUUUGAAUUAUUCCUUUAUUUGACAGAAAUUUUUUUAUCUCCUGAAGGGCAAGGGGGGAUGAAUGCAGUGUCUUUGGUGCAGAAAGACCUGUUUGAUCUUGAAGCAAAUCACCCCAAGGAUUCCCCAUGAUUUUCAUAUUGUCCUUUUAUAAAGAGAGAUUUGGGUUACUGAGCCAGCGGGUCUGUCCCUGUGCCCGUCUGUCUCAGUCCCGCUGAUCCUUCUAGAGUGCUUUCUGGAAAGAGUGACCCGUUUGAUACCUUUGCCAUGUGCUGGCACAAGUAACCAAAUAGCUGCACAAAGAUAAGAGUUCAAGGGUAUUCGCUGAGGUGUUGCUUAUAACGACAAUAGGAAAUAUCCUAAAUAUCCAUCCACAGGGGAUUGAUUAAAUUCGUUCAGAACAUGCUGCAAUGUAAUGCCAAGCUGUUCUUUAAAAGAUGAAUAAGAUCUAUAUGUAUUAAUCAGGAAGAGUGUUAAUGAUACAUAAAGUAAAAAUUAAAAAGUGUAUUGAACUGUGUGUAAAUUAUUAUGGUUUUUUUCAUGUAAAUUAAUGUAUGCAUAAAAAUUCUGUUGGGAUGUAUUCCAAACUGAACAGAGGCUCUUGUGGAGGAAGGGGUAUGUGAAGUGCCUUGAAGGGAACUUCACUUUCUCUUUUAAGCACAUCUGUAUUUUUUGCAUUUUGAAUUAUUUUU
This 4424-nucleotide long non-coding RNA is filed under the name Sus scrofa (pig). Its description in RNAcentral is "lncRNA (ENSSSCG00050051322.1)". Lineage: Eukaryota; Metazoa; Chordata; Mammalia; Artiodactyla; Suidae. The record is from RNAcentral.